Molecule: ribosomal RNA, 1040 nt
Filed under: Candidatus Synechococcus spongiarum P123SC1
Lineage: Bacteria; Bacillati; Cyanobacteriota; Cyanophyceae; Synechococcales; Synechococcaceae
Description: bacterial SSU rRNA
Rfam family: Bacterial small subunit ribosomal RNA
Source: RNAcentral
AUAUGCCGAGAGGUGAAACGAAUUUCGCCUGGGGAUGAGCUCGCGUCUGAUUAGCUUGUUGGUGGGGUAACAGCCUACCAAGGCUUCGAUCAGUAGCUGGUCUGAGAGGACGAUCAGCCACACUGGGACUGAGACACGGCCCAGACUCCUACGGGAGGCAGCAGUGGGGAAUUUUCCGCAAUGGGCGCAAGCCUGACGGAGCAACGCCGCGUGAGGGAUGAAGGCCUUUGGGCUGUAAACCUCUUUUCUCAAGGAAGAAGAUCUGACGGUACUUGAGGAAUAAGCCACGGCUAAUUCCGUGCCAGCAGCCGCGGUAAUACGGGAGUGGCAAGCGUUAUCCGGAAUUAUUGGGCGUAAAGCGUCCGCAGGCGGCCGUUUAAGUCUGUUGUUAAAUCGUGGAGCUCAACUCCAUCACGGCAAUGGAAACUGUUCGGCUUGAGUAUGGUAGGGGCAGAGGGAAUUUCCGGUGUAGCGGUGAAAUGCGUAGAUAUCGGGAAGAACACCAGUGGCAAAAGCGCUCUGCUGGGCCAUUACUGACGCUCAUGGACGAAAGCCAGGGGAGCGAAAGGGAUUAGAUACCCCUGUAGUCCUGGCCGUAAACGAUGAACACUAGAUGUUGGGGGAAUCGACCCCUCCGGUGUCGUAGCUAACGCGUUAAGUGUUCCGCCUGGGGAGUACGCACGCAAGUGUGAAACUCAAAGGAAUUGACGGGGGCCCGCACAAGCGGUGGAGUAUGUGGUUUAAUUCGAUGCAACGCGAAGAACCUUACCAAGGCUUGACAUCCUGCGAAUCUCCAAGAAAUUGGAGAGUGCCUUCGGGAACGCAGUGACAGGUGGUGCAUGGCUGUCGUCAGCUCGUGUCGUGAGAUGUUGGGUUAAGUCCCGCAACGAGCGCAACCCACGCUUUUAGUUGCCAGCAUUCAGUUGGGCACUCUAGAAAGACUGCCGGUGACAAACCGGAGGAAGGUGUGGACGACGUCAAGUCAUCAUGCCCCUUACGUCUUGGGCUACACACGUACUACAAUGCUGCGGACAAAGAGU